Molecule: small RNA, 1002 nt
Filed under: Pan troglodytes (chimpanzee)
Lineage: Eukaryota; Metazoa; Chordata; Mammalia; Primates; Hominidae
Description: retained intron
Source: RNAcentral
GGGGUGGGGGUAGCGGUCGAGUAUCAAGUUGCUUUCUGUCCCGGCAGAGGAAGCCAGAUCGCUGAGGGUCCAGUCUCCAGCUUGCCUCCUGCUAUAUCCAUAGGAAGAGAAAAGUUUGUGACUUGGGCCCCCAAGUUUUGAGAGAACUGGGCUUUCGGCGCGGGGGGACAGAGGAGGCUCGUGGGGAGCUUUCCCCAUGGAGCUUACCCAGCCUGCAGAAGACCUCAUCCUGACCCAGCAGACCCCUGCCUCAGAACUUGGGGACCCUGAAGACCCUGGAGAGGAGGCUGCAGAUGGCUCAGACACUGUGGUCCUCAGUCUCUUUCCCUGCACCCCUGAGCCUGUGAAUCCUGAACCGGAUGCCAGUGUUUCCUCUCCACAGGGCAGCUCCCUGAAGCACUCCACCACUCUCACCAACCGGCAGCGAGGGAACGAGGUGUCAGCUCUGCCGGCCACCCUAGACUCCCUGUCCAUCCACCAGCUCGCAGCACAGGGGGAGCUGGACCAGCUGAAGGAGCAUUUGCGGAAAGGUGACAACCUCGUCAACAAGCCAGACGAGCGCGGCUUCACCCCCCUCAUCUGGGCCUCGGCCUUUGGAGAGAUUGAGACCGUUCGCUUCCUGCUGGAGUGGGGUGCCGACCCCCACAUCCUGGCAAAAGAGCGAGAGAGCGCCCUGUCGCUGGCCAGCACAGGCGGCUACACAGACAUUGUGGGGCUGCUGCUGGAGCGUGACGUGGACAUCAACAUCUAUGAUUGGAAUGGAGGGACGCCACUGCUGUACGCUGUGCGCGGGAACCACGUGAAAUGCGUUGAGGCCUUGCUGGGUGAGUGGGAGUCGGGAGUGGCCCUGGGGGCCCCAGCACUCCAGCGGGCCCUGCGGGAAUCCUGAGGGCAGGGAGACGCCCAAGCGUUGCUUGAAGAGUUCUUGGAGCAGGUAGUCCCUGCCUGCUCUUCUCGGAGGGUGGAUCAGAGGGGAGGAGGUGGUAGAACCACACGGGAGUC